Non-coding RNA from Gymnothorax javanicus (giant moray), 72 nucleotides. NCBI's taxonomy places the organism in Eukaryota, Metazoa, Chordata, Actinopteri, Anguilliformes, Muraenidae. The record is from the annotation of a GenBank genome assembly.
GACUUGGUAGCUCAGUUGGUAGAGCGGUGAUGUGGAAUCCCUAAGUCGUGAGUUCGAUCCUCGCUCGGGUUC